CAGAACGAACGCUGGCGGCAUGCCUAAUACAUGCAAGUCGAACGAACUCUUCGGAGUUAGUGGCGCACGGGUGCGUAACGCGUGGGAAUCUGCCCCUUGGUUCGGAAUAACAGUUGGAAACGACUGCUAAUACCGGAUGAUGACGAAAGUCCAAAGAUUUAUCGCCAAGGGAUGAGCCCGCGUAGGAUUAGCUAGUUGGUGAGGUAAAGGCUCACCAAGGCAACGAUCCUUAGCUGGUCUGAGAGGAUGAUCAGCCACACUGGGACUGAGACACGGCCCAGACUCCUACGGGAGGCAGCAGUAGGGAAUAUUGGACAAUGGGCGAAAGCCUGAUCCAGCAAUGCCGCGUGAGUGAUGAAGGCCUUA
This 366-nucleotide ribosomal RNA is filed under the name uncultured soil bacterium. RNAcentral's name for it is "bacterial SSU rRNA". It matches the Rfam family "Bacterial small subunit ribosomal RNA", at positions 25 to 419 of the family's 1533-position model. The record is from RNAcentral.